GGGGGGGGGGGGGGGGGGGGGUGGGGGGGGGGGGUGGGGGGGGGGCGGGGGGGGGGGUGGCGGGGGGGGGCGUAACGCGUGGGAGCGUGCGCUUAGGUUGGGCAGAACUCCCGGAGGGGGGCGCUCCUAGCUGAGAAUGUCUUCGGACCAAAGAUGGACCGCCUUUGGAUGGGCCCGUGUUGGAUUAGUGAGUGGGUAGGGUAAACGCCUACCAAGGCGACGAUCCAUAGAUGGUCUGAGAGGAUGAUCAGGCACACUGGGACUGAGACACGGCCCAGACUCCUACGGGAGGCAGCAGUGGGGAAUAUUGGACAAUGGGCGAAAGCCUGAUCCAGCAAUGCCGCGUGAGUGAUGAAGGCCUUAGGGUUGUAAAGCUCUUUUACCCGGGAUGAUAAUGACAGUACCGGGAGAAUAAGCUCCGGCUAACUCCGUG
This 433-nucleotide ribosomal RNA is filed under the name uncultured bacterium. RNAcentral describes it as "partial 16S ribosomal RNA". The stretch from base 63 to 433 matches the Rfam family "Bacterial small subunit ribosomal RNA", at positions 39 to 507 of the family's 1533-position model. The record is from RNAcentral.